UUUGUAGCAGUCAAAGUGGCCAAAUAGUUCGGUACACCAUACUAAAUAUAUGGUGUACCGAACUAUUUGGCUACUUUGGUUGCUACAAAGUAUUUGACGCUGACUGUACUAAUUUUAAAACCUUCACCCGUAUUGUCCUUAAUAACCUUAUACUCCGCACAAACAUACUCGUAGAUCCCAUCCACACUCCAACACACACUAAAAAAAUAUACAGUCGCGUCCACACCACUUCGUCUGAGGCCAGUCACGCGCCUUAACGGCCGCUCCCAUGGCGGCGAAAAAACGAGCAUCAGAAAAAACCGCUCUAAAAAAAGUUGGACCGCGGCCUCGUACACAACAUUGACCAUAGAUGGAUCUUAUGCCUUUGAAAUAAGGUUCACGGUUAACAGCGUGUACGGUACUCACAUAUUUUGAAACCAAGGUUAUCUUUUCGCGAGCCAGUACAGGUAGGUUUAUUUAUGUUGGAUGCACUGUUUUCUUUUAAUGUUUUGUUUUGUAUUUGAUUGUUUAAAGUAUUUUUUUAGGUUUUUAAUGGGGUGUUGUGUAAAUUGAGAAUAUAUUUAAAUAUUUUAAAUUAAUCGCGUUCAAUCUGCAUAAAAAGAAAUUGUGUUCAUAUUUUUUCAGUGAAGAUAUAUGUUUUUUUUUAAAUCUGUGAUUAGGAAAAUGUAUGCGUUGACGUAUGACAUUACAAAAAUUGCUGACCCAAAGUGGACUCUAACAGCACAAGACCGAUCUAUCUCUGGAGGAGGCCUUUACCCGAGAAGGGGUUCUUGCUUCGUAGUGUAGGAAUAUACUUAAUGUUAUUUAAAAAUUGAAUUUUAAAUUUAAUUUAUGUAAAAAUAAUGACAUUUUUGAUUAUUUAUCAUAAUUAUGUAUAUUCCUCCUAUUUUUCGAAUCAUGUUGACAUUGUAACUACUUGCAAGAAAUAAAGACUUUUUUUUUACAAGCUUUUAUUUACUUUCACCUGACCAUUGUCUGUUAGUAAUCAAAUCUUGCAAGUUAAAUUUGACCCACUUCCCGGUUUCCGAUGAAGCUGAAAAUUUGCAUACAUAUGUAAGUCGGGUGACAAUGCAAUAUUAUGGUACCAUCGAGAUGAUCUGAUGAUGGAGACAGGAGGUGGCCAUAGGAACUCUGUGAUAAAACAACGUAACCCAAUUGUGUUUGGGGUUUUUAGAAUUGUCUCGAUGAGUAUUAGUUACUUGUGGAAAGAAAAAUACAGUCAGCGAUAAUAGCUUGUAA
Long non-coding RNA from Cydia pomonella (codling moth), 1239 nucleotides. RefSeq lists it as uncharacterized. The transcript is spliced from 2 exons. The record is from RefSeq and is a predicted model, not a curated record. Lineage: Eukaryota; Metazoa; Arthropoda; Insecta; Lepidoptera; Tortricidae.